AGCAAACAGGAUUAGAUACCUGGUAGUCACGCUGUAAACGAUGUCGAUUUGGAGGUUGUGCCCUUGAGGCGUGGCUUCCGGAGCUAACGCGUUAAAUCGACCGCCUGGGGAGUACGGCCGCAAGGUUAAAACUCAAAUGAAUUGACGGGGGCCCGCACAAGCGGUGGAGCAUGUGGUUUAAUUCGAUGCAACGCGAAGAACCUUACCUACUCUUGACAUCCAGAGAACUUUCCAGAGAUGGAUUGGUGCCUUCGGGAACUCUGAGACAGGUGCUGCAUGGCUGUCGUCAGCUCGUGUUGUGAAAUGUUGGGUUAAGUCCCGCAACGAGCGCAACCCUUAUCCUUUGUUGCCAGCGGUUCGGCCGGGAACUCAAAGGAGACUGCCAGUGAUAAACUGGAGGAAGGUGGGGAUGACGUCAAGUCAUCAUGGCCCUUACGAGUAGGGCUACACACGUGCUACAAUGGCGUAUACAAAGAGAAGCGACCUCGCGAGAGCAAGCGGACCUCAUAAAGUACGUCGUAGUCCGGAUUGGAGUCUGCAACUCGACUCCAUGAAGUCGGAAUCGCUAGUAAUCGUAGAUCAGAAUGCUACGGUGAAUACGUUCCCGGGCCUUGUACACACCGCCCGUCACACCAUGGGAGUGGGUUGCAAAAGAAGUAGGUAGCUUAACCUUCGGGAGGGCGCUUACCACUUUGUGAUUCAUGACUGGGGUGAAGUCGUAACAAGGUAACCA
RNAcentral lists this ribosomal RNA (733 nucleotides) under uncultured Serratia sp. RNAcentral's name for it is "bacterial SSU rRNA". It matches the Rfam family "Bacterial small subunit ribosomal RNA", at positions 767 to 1502 of the family's 1533-position model. The record is from RNAcentral. Lineage: Bacteria; Pseudomonadati; Pseudomonadota; Gammaproteobacteria; Enterobacterales; Yersiniaceae.